RNAcentral lists this ribosomal RNA (777 nucleotides) under uncultured Neocallimastigales. Its description in RNAcentral is "partial large subunit ribosomal RNA". It matches the Rfam family "Eukaryotic large subunit ribosomal RNA", at positions 23 to 616 of the family's 3401-position model. Lineage: Eukaryota; Fungi; Neocallimastigomycota; Neocallimastigomycetes; Neocallimastigales. The record is from RNAcentral.
AAGAGAGAGACAUGCGCGCAUAUCAAUAAGCGGAGGAAAAGAAACUAACAAGGAUUCCCCUAGUAACGGCGAGUGAAGCGGGAAGAGCUCAAAUUUGAAAUCUUAAAGGGUUUCCCUUUACGAAUUGUAGUUUAAAGAAGUGUUUUCUGUUGAGGUUUUGGUAAAAGUUCUUUGGAAUAGGACAUCAUAGGAGGGUGAGAAUCCCGUAUUUGACCAUUACUUUUCAGCUGUGUGAUACACUUUCAAAGAGUCGGAUUGUUUGGGAAUGCAGUCCAAAAUGGGUGGUAAAUUUCAUCUAAAGCUAAAUAUUGGCGAGAGACCGAUAGCGAACAAGUACCGUGAGGGAAAGAUGAAAAGAACUUUGAAAAGAGAGUUAAACAGUACGUGAAAUUGUCAAAAGGGAAGCGUUUGACACCAGUGUUGUUUUUCUGAAAAUCAAUUAAAGAACUGUUUAUGCUAAGUUGUUUAGACUUUAUCAGCUAACUGUUUAGUUUUGAGCUUUUCUUUAAUGCACUUUUCAGUUAACAAGUCAACAUCAAUUUCUUUUGCUGUAAAAAAGCUUGAGGAAGGUGGCUUGAGAUUCGUCUUAAGUGUUUAUAGCCUCUUGCCUAUGCAGUCGGAGAGAUUGAGGUCUGCAGCGUAGAUCCUUCGGGGCUAAAUGCAUUUGUGCUAAGUUAUAGCAUUUUAUAGGCAACUUGUUGACUAUGAUUUGUCUUGUAGCUUACUCGCUUAUGUUAUUUUACCUACGCUUAGGAUGUUGAGCGCAUGUCUCUCUCU